CUGGGUGCGCUUGCAAUGCAGUCGAGCGGAUGACGGGAGCUUGCUCCUUGAUUCACGGCGGACGGGUGAGUAAUGCCUAGGAAUCUGCCUGGUAGUGGGGGACAACGUUUCGAAAGGAACGCUAAUACCGCAUACGUCCUACGGGAGAAAGCAGGGGACCUUCGGGCCUUGCGCUAUCAGAUGAGCCUAGGUCGGAUUAGCUAGUUGGUGGGGUAAUGGCUCACCAAGGCGACGAUCCGUAACUGGUCUGAGAGGAUGAUCAGUCACACUGGAACUGAGACACGGUCCAGACUCCUACGGGAGGCAGCAGUGGGGAAUAUUGGACAAUGGGCGAAAGCCUGAUCCAGCCAUGCCGCGUGUGUGAAGAAGGUCUUCGGAUUGUAAAGCACUUUAAGUUGGGAGGAAGGGCAGUAAGUUAAUACCUUGCUGUUUUGACGUUACCGACAGAAUAAGCACCGGCUAACUCUGUGCCAGCAGCCGCGGUAAUACAGAGGGUGCAAGCGUUAAUCGGAAUUACUGGGCGUAAAGCGCGCGUAGGUGGUUUGUUAAGUUGGACCGCCUGGGAACUGCAUCCAAAACUGGCAAGCUAGAGUACGGUAGAGGGUGGUGGAAUUUCCUGUGUAGCGGUGAAAUGCGUAGAUAUAGGAAGGAACACCAGUGGCGAAGGCGACCACCUGGACUGAUACUGACACUGAGGUGCGAAAGCGUGGGGAGCAAACAGGAUUAGAUACCCUGGUAGUCCACGCCGUAAACGAUGUCAACUAGCCUUUGGAAUCCUUGAGAUUUUAGUGGCGCAGCUAACGCAUUAAGUUGACCGCCUGGGGAGUACGGCCGCAAGGUUAAAACUCAAUGAAUUGACGGGGGCCCGCACAAGCGGUGGAGCAUGUGGUUUAAUUCGAACCAACGCGAAGAACCUUACCAGGCCUUGACAUGCAGAAASUUUUCAGAGAUGGAAUUGGUGCUUCUGGUACUCUGACACAAGGGCUGCAUGGCUGUCAGUCAGCUCGUGUCGGGAAAUGAUUGGGUAGUUCCAGUACGG
Molecule: ribosomal RNA, 1039 nt
Filed under: Pseudomonas plecoglossicida
Lineage: Bacteria; Pseudomonadati; Pseudomonadota; Gammaproteobacteria; Pseudomonadales; Pseudomonadaceae
Description: bacterial SSU rRNA
Source: RNAcentral